CUACCUCUACCAGCCUCAUCCUGACAGAUGGGUUCUCUGUGAGCUUUGUGCCAAUCACCAGCAGGGUGUCCAACAGCUGAGCAAGGACUUGGUGAGACUUCUCAUUCUGAAGUGUGUUAAUGGCAUCAUCCAUAAUGCAGUCUGGGGAAAAUCCCGCAGUCUUUGAUAACAAACCCAGCAAGGAAGCAAUCUUCAAUCUUACAGAAGCAUCAUUCUCCUUAUAAUAAUGCUCCAGAAGGAUUCGGACCACCCCUUCCACGCUCUCCACUUCCACAGGCUUCCUGGCAAACUGCAGCAGGUACUGCAAGGCAUCCGCAGGCGAGGUGGCUUUACACAGGUCAACGUGGAGUGCUGCCGACUUGCUGGGCUUGGUCAGCCGCAGUUUCUUAGCGGACAGGUCCUCAUGCUGCUGCUGGACCACCUUGGUGAACUCCUCAUACACCCGCUUCUUCAGGUGCGCCG
RNAcentral lists this long non-coding RNA (462 nucleotides) under Gallus gallus (chicken). The record is from RNAcentral. Lineage: Eukaryota; Metazoa; Chordata; Aves; Galliformes; Phasianidae.